UAAUGGUCCUAGAAUGUGAUCAGGUUCUCCU
RNAcentral lists this non-coding RNA (31 nucleotides) under Mus musculus (house mouse). Lineage: Eukaryota; Metazoa; Chordata; Mammalia; Rodentia; Muridae. The record is from RNAcentral.